RNAcentral lists this ribosomal RNA (1372 nucleotides) under uncultured bacterium. RNAcentral's name for it is "bacterial SSU rRNA". It matches the Rfam family "Bacterial small subunit ribosomal RNA", at positions 28 to 1381 of the family's 1533-position model. The record is from RNAcentral.
GAUGAACGCUGGCGGCGUGCCUAAUACAUGCAAGUCGAGCGAACGGACGAGAAGCUUGCUUCUCUGAUGUUAGCGGCGGACGGGUGAGUAACACGUGGAUAACCUACCUAUAAGACUGGGAUAACUUCGGGAAACCGGAGCUAAUACCGGAUAAUAUUUUGAACCGCAUGGUUCAAAAGUGAAAGACGGUCUUGCUGUCACUUAUAGAUGGAUCCGCGCUGCAUUAGCUAGUUGGUAAGGUAACGGCUUACCAAGGCAACGAUGCAUAUCCGACCUGAGAGGGUGAUCGGCCACACUGGAACUGAGACACGGUCCAGACUCCUACGGGAGGCAGCAGUAGGGAAUCUUCCGCAAUGGGCGAAAGCCUGACGGAGCUACGCCGCGUGAGUGAUGAAGGUCUUCGGAUCGCAAAACUCUGUUAUUAGGGAAGAACAUAUGUGUAAGUAACUGUGCACAUCUUGCCUGUACCUUUUUCUAAAGUCCCGGCUAACUACGUGCCUAUCGCCGCGUGAUUACCUAGGUGGCACGCGUUAUCCUGACUUAUUGGGCAUAAAGUCCGCGUAUGACGGUUUUUUAGUCUGAUGUGAAAGCCCACGGCUCUUCCGUGGAGGGUCAUUGGAAACUGGAAAACUUGAGUGCAGAAGAGGAAAGUGGAAUUCCAUGUGUAGCGGUGAAAUGCGCAGAGAUAUGGAGGAACACCAGUGGCGAAGGCGACUUUCUGGUCUGUAACUGACGCUGAUGUGCGAAAGCGUGGGGAUCAAACAGGAUUAGAUACCCUGGUAGUCCACGCCGUAAACGAUGAGUGCUAAGUGUUAGGGGGUUUCCGCCCCUUAGUGCUGCAGCUAACGCAUUAAGCACUCCGCCUGGGGAGUACGACCGCAAGGUUGAAACUCAAAGGAAUUGACGGGGACCCGCACAAGCGGUGGAGCAUGUGGUUUAAUUCGAAGCAACGCGAAGAACCUUACCAAAUCUUGACAUCCUUUGACAACUCUAGAGAUAGAGCCUUCCCCUUCGGGGGACAAAGUGACAGGUGGUGCAUGGUUGUCGUCAGCUCGUGUCGUGAGAUGUUGGGUUAAGUCCCGCAACGAGCGCAACCCUUAAGCUUAGUUGCCAUCAUUAAGUUGGGCACUCUAAGUUGACUGCCGGUGAUAAACCGGAGGAAGGUGGGGAUGACGUCAAAUCAUCAUGCCCCUUAUGAUUUGGGCUACACACGUGCUACAAUGGACAAUACAAAGGGCAGCGAAACCGCGAGGUCAAGCAAAUCCCAUAAAGUUGUUCUCAGUUCGGAUUGUAGUCUGCAACUCGACUACAUGAAGCUGGAAUCGCUAGUAAUCGUAGAUCAGCAUGCUACGGUGAAUACGUUCCCGGGUCU